UGAUCUCGAGAAGAAGCAGCGAUGCGCUGAGAGGUUUGGGGUCCCGUUUCAGCUUUCUGAAGAGGAGAAGCCCAGUUCUCGUGCGGAGCGACUUUUUUAGCAUAGUUCCUACUUCCCCUCAUCAGUCGUUGGCUCGUCAGAGGUGCGUGGAUGAGUGCAAGGCCGCGAUCAUUGCUCAGAUCAAAUUUUUCAAGGAAUCAAGUGAAGAAGAGCGAGAUCAUGCAGAGAAACUAAUGGAGUACUAGAACAAACGUGGAGGCAGAGUGAAGCUUCUGUCGAUAAUGACUCCCAAUACUGAGUAUGAUAACCCUGAGAAAGGAGAUGCACUAUAUGCAAUGGAGCUGGCCCUAUCUCUUGAGAAAAUUACAAAUGAGAAGCUCUUCAAUUUACACAGUGGGAUGAAGGAAACAAGAUUGAUGUUUUGAUGGGCUCACUAAAGUCAAAAAUAAGGACUUCGACAUAUUUCUCUCUCUCUCUGGUUAAGAUUCUCUAUAUAUGAAACUGAUUGUAAUAGGCUUUGUUGGUUAAGAUCAUCAAUAUGAAAUUAAUUGUAAUAGACUUUAUUGGUUAUGUAUGAAAUUGAUUGUAAUUAAUAGACUUUAUGACUGGAAAUGGAUUAUACUUUAUAUUAGGAAUAUCAUAAAUUUACUUUA
This is a long non-coding RNA of Asparagus officinalis (garden asparagus), 653 nucleotides long. RefSeq lists it as uncharacterized. The transcript is spliced from 6 exons. The record is from RefSeq and is a predicted model, not a curated record. NCBI's taxonomy places the organism in Eukaryota, Viridiplantae, Streptophyta, Magnoliopsida, Asparagales, Asparagaceae.